This 345-nucleotide unclassified non-coding RNA is filed under the name soil metagenome. RNAcentral describes it as "partial contains 5.8S ribosomal RNA, internal transcribed spacer 2, and large subunit ribosomal RNA". The stretch from base 1 to 119 matches the Rfam family "5.8S ribosomal RNA", at positions 35 to 154 of the family's 154-position model. The record is from RNAcentral.
GAUGAAGAACGUAGCGAAAUGCGAUACGUAAUGUGAAUUGCAGAAUUCAGUGAAUCAUCGAGUCUUUGAACGCACAUUGCGCCCCCUGGUAUUCCGGGGGCAUGCCUGUCCGAGCGUCAUUGCUGCCCUCAAGCCCGGCUUGUGUGUUGGGUCUCGUCCCCCUUCCCGGGGGGACGGGCCCGAAAGGCAGCGGCGGCACCGUGUCCGGUCCUCGAGCGUAUGGGGCUUUGUCACCCGCUCUGUAGGCCCGGCCGGCGCUUGCCGAUCAACCAAAACUUUUUUCCAGGUUGACCUCGGAUCAGGUAGGGAUACCCGCUGAACUUAAGCAUAUCAAUAAGCGGAGGA